AUCCAGCUGAUGAGUCCCGAAUGGGAUGAAAUGCGCGUCCUGAAU
Molecule: non-coding RNA, 45 nt
Organism: Schistosoma curassoni
Lineage: Eukaryota; Metazoa; Platyhelminthes; Trematoda; Strigeidida; Schistosomatidae
Source: Rfam